AGGCAGGAGAAUGGCGUGAACCCGGGAGGCGGAGCUUGCAGUGAGUCAAGAUAGAGCCACUGCACUCCAGUCUGGGCAAAAGAGUGAGACUCCGUCUCAAAAAAAAAAAAAAAAAAUGCUGUAACCCCCCUGGUGAGGAGGUAGAGGAUGAAUCUCCCCACUCUUCAGGGUGAGGACACUGAGGCCAAGACACUUGAUCCUUUUGCUGAAUCCAGUGGGAAAAAAGUCAAUACCCGAUUCAGACAAUCCAAACAGGCGUUUUGUCCCUUCCCUAACUCCCAGGGUGACUGCCUGGGGAGGCACAUGGCCUCCCCUUUGCCAUCCAGAUAAGCCUGUGACCUUGGCCCUGGCGGGAAGCCUGG
RNAcentral lists this long non-coding RNA (362 nucleotides) under Homo sapiens (human). RNAcentral describes it as "non-protein coding lnc-DDB1-3:1". Lineage: Eukaryota; Metazoa; Chordata; Mammalia; Primates; Hominidae. The record is from RNAcentral.